Molecule: ribosomal RNA, 119 nt
Filed under: Triticum aestivum (bread wheat)
Lineage: Eukaryota; Viridiplantae; Streptophyta; Magnoliopsida; Poales; Poaceae
Source: RNAcentral
GGAUGCGAUCAUACUAGCACUAAAGCACCGGAUCCCAUCAGAACUCCGAAGUUAAGCGUGGUUGGGCGAGAGUAGUACUAGGAUGGGUGACCUCUUGGGAAGUCCUCGUGUUGCAUUCC